This 253-nucleotide ribosomal RNA is filed under the name uncultured bacterium. RNAcentral describes it as "partial 16S ribosomal RNA". It matches the Rfam family "Bacterial small subunit ribosomal RNA", at positions 524 to 776 of the family's 1533-position model. The record is from RNAcentral.
UACGGAGGGGGCAAGCGUUAUUCGGAAUUAUUGGGCGUAAAGGGCGCGUAGGCGGCUUUGUAAGUCAGAGGUGAAAUCCCGGGGCUCAACCCCGGAACUGCCUUUGAGACUGCAUCGCUGGAAUCCAGGAGAGGUGAGUGGAAUUCCGAGUGUAGAGGUGAAAUUCGUAGAUAUUCGGAAGAACACCAGUGGCGAAGGCGGCUCACUGGACUGGUAUUGACGCUGAGGUGCGAAAGCGUGGGGAGCAAACAGG